This 465-nucleotide ribosomal RNA is filed under the name Vreelandella stevensii. RNAcentral describes it as "partial 16S ribosomal RNA". It matches the Rfam family "Bacterial small subunit ribosomal RNA", at positions 338 to 795 of the family's 1533-position model. Lineage: Bacteria; Pseudomonadati; Pseudomonadota; Gammaproteobacteria; Oceanospirillales; Halomonadaceae. The record is from RNAcentral.
CCUACGGGUGGCUGCAGUGGGGAAUAUUGGACAAUGGGGGGAACCCUGAUCCAGCCAUGCCGCGUGUGUGAAGAAGGCCCUCGGGUUGUAAAGCACUUUCAGUGAGGAAGAACGCCUGGUGGUUAAUACCCAUCAGGAAAGACAUCACUCACAGAAGAAGCACCGGCUAACUCCGUGCCAGCAGCCGCGGUAAUACGGAGGGUGCGAGCGUUAAUCGGAAUUACUGGGCGUAAAGCGCGCGUAGGUGGCUUGAUAAGCCGGUUGUGAAAGCCCCGGGCUCAACCUGGGAACGGCAUCCGGAACUGUCAAGCUAGAGUGCAGGAGAGGAAGGUAGAAUUCCCGGUGUAGCGGUGAAAUGCGUAGAGAUCGGGAGGAAUACCAGUGGCGAAGGCGGCCUUCUGGACUGACACUGACACUGAGGUGCGAAAGCGUGGGUAACAAACAGGAUUAGAUACCCCAGUAGUC